GCGGCUGUAGCUCAAUGGUAGAGCGGCAAAAUCGAGUCUAUGCUACUCGGAUGCUUAACGCAUCGUGCGGGUUCGACUCCCGCCAGCCACC
This 91-nucleotide transfer RNA is filed under the name Fibrobacter sp. RNAcentral's name for it is "tRNA-His". It matches the Rfam family "tRNA". From Rfam's summary of the family: Transfer RNA (tRNA) molecules are approximately 80 nucleotides in length. Their secondary structure includes four short double-helical elements and three loops (D, anti-codon, and T loops). The record is from RNAcentral. Lineage: Bacteria; Pseudomonadati; Fibrobacterota; Fibrobacteria; Fibrobacterales; Fibrobacteraceae.